This 300-nucleotide ribosomal RNA is filed under the name uncultured Desulfurococcus sp. RNAcentral's name for it is "bacterial SSU rRNA". It matches the Rfam family "Bacterial small subunit ribosomal RNA", at positions 496 to 795 of the family's 1533-position model. The record is from RNAcentral. Lineage: Archaea; Thermoproteati; Thermoproteota; Thermoprotei; Desulfurococcales; Desulfurococcaceae.
GCUAAAGUGUGUCAGGGAGAGUCGGUAAUAACAAGGGGGCAAGCGUUAACGGUAAUUACUGGGCGGAAAGCGUGCGUAGGUGGUUCUGUAAUGCGGUUGUGAAAUCCCCGGGCUCAAGCUGGGAAUGGCAGUGGAUACUGGGGAGCUAGAGUGUGAUAGAGGAUGGUGGAAUUCCCGGUGUAGCGGUGAAAUGCGUAGAGAUCGGGAGGAACAUCAGUGGCGAAGGCGGCCAUCUGGAUCAACACUGACGCUGAGGCACGAAAGCGUGGGGAGCAAACAGGAUUAGAUACCCCGGUAGUC